UACGUAGGGUGCAAGCGUUGUCCGGAAUUAUUGGGCGUAAAGCGCGCGCAGGCGGUUUCUUAAGUCUGAUGUGAAAGCCCACGGCUCAACCGUGGAGGGUCAUUGGAAACUGGGGGACUUGAGUGCAGGAGAGAAGAGUGGAAUUCCACGUGUAGCGGUGAAAUGCGUAGAGAUGUGGAGGAACACCAGUGGCGAAGGCGACUCUUUGGCCUGUAACUGACGCUGAGGCGCGAAAGCGUGGGGAGCAAACAGG
This 253-nucleotide ribosomal RNA is filed under the name uncultured bacterium. RNAcentral describes it as "partial 16S ribosomal RNA". It matches the Rfam family "Bacterial small subunit ribosomal RNA", at positions 524 to 776 of the family's 1533-position model. The record is from RNAcentral.